Molecule: small RNA, 904 nt
Filed under: Pongo abelii (Sumatran orangutan)
Lineage: Eukaryota; Metazoa; Chordata; Mammalia; Primates; Hominidae
Description: processed transcript
Source: RNAcentral
AGAACCAACAAGAGAUCACCUGGAGAUUGGAGACUGAAGAAGCUGGUGGUGUAUUUCAAAAGCCUGAGAGGCAGAGGUGAAUGGUGUAGAUUUCAGUUUUAGUUUGAAGGCCUGAAAACCGGGAAUGCUAACGGCAGAAGAAGGAAUGUUCCAGCUCAAGCAGUCAAGCAGAAGAAAGAAAUUCCACUGAUUUUAUAUCUCUUUGCUCUGAUUUCUGUGACAUGGCUUUGGGGAGGACUACACAUGGCCUACAGACACUUCUGGAUGUUGGUUCUCUUUGUCAUUUUCAACAGUCUGCAGGUGCCACCUGACUGGGAGAGAGCAUCCUUUCAACAGGCCAGUCAGGCCAGCCCUGAUUUAAAGCCAAGUCCACAAAAUGGAGCCAUGUUCCCGUCCUCUGGAGGAUAUGGCCAGGGGUCACUGAUAGCCGAUGAGGAGUCCCAGGAGUUUGAUGAUUUAAUAUUUGCAUUAAAAACUGGUGCUGGUCUCAGUGUCAGUGAUAAUGAAUCUGGUCAAGGCAGCCAGGAGGGGGGCACCUUGACUGACUCCCAGAUCGUGGAGCUCAGGAGGAUACCCAUCGCCGACACUCACCUCUAGCACCUCACUAACCAUUCGACUUAGCACACUUUCAUGUUUGUAUCAGCUUUUGUGCUAAAACUCUCUAAGUACGUCCACCUGUGUAAUAGGAACCUGUGAAUUGUACUGGAUGAUUAACACAAACGUGAUUGUUGUAUUUGGAGUAUAAAUUACUGAUUGUAUGUGACCUGAAAAUUCACUGCUAUAAGAAAGAUGGAGUCAGUUUGUAUCAGUUAAUAGGAUGUUCAUAUUCCAAGAAUAUUAGUUGUUUUUUUAAUCAUCCUAUAUGGCUAACAUUGUUUAAUGAAAGUAAUAAUCAAUAAAGCAA